This 744-nucleotide ribosomal RNA is filed under the name uncultured bacterium. RNAcentral's name for it is "bacterial SSU rRNA". It matches the Rfam family "Bacterial small subunit ribosomal RNA", at positions 8 to 796 of the family's 1533-position model. The record is from RNAcentral.
AGAGUUUGAUCCUGGCUCAGAGCGAACGCUGGCGGCAGGCUUAACACAUGCAAGUCGAACGGGCACCUUCGGGUGUCAGUGGCAGACGGGUGAGUAACACGUGGGAACGUGCCCUUCGGUUCGGAAUAACUCAGGGAAACUUGAGCUAAUACCGGAUACGCCCUUACGGGGAAAGGUUUACUGCCGAAGGAUCGGCCCGCGUCUGAUUAGCUAGUUGGUGGGGUAAUGGCCUACCAAGGCGACGAUCAGUAGCUGGUCUGAGAGGAUGAUCAGCCACACUGGGACUGAGACACGGCCCAGACUCCUACGGGAGGCAGCAGUGGGGAAUAUUGGACAAUGGGCGAAAGCCUGAUCCAGCCAUGCCGCGUGAGUGAUGAAGGCCUUAGGGUUGUAAAGCUCUUUCGACGGGGACGAUAAUGACGGUACCCGUAGAAGAAGCCCCGGCUAACUUCGUGCCAGCAGCCGCGGUAAUACGAAGGGGGCUAGCGUUGCUCGGAAUCACUGGGCGUAAAGGGCGCGUAGGCGGCCGAUCAAGUCAGAGGUGAAAGCCCAAGGCUCAACCUUGGAAUUGCCUUUGAUACUGUUCGGCUAGAGACCGGAAGAGGUUAGUGGAACUGCGAGUGUAGAGGUGAAAUUCGUAGAUAUUCGCAAGAACACCAGUGGCGAAGGCGGCUAACUGGUCCGGUUCUGACGCUGAGGCGCGAAAGCGUGGGGAGCAAACAGGAUUAGAUACCCUAGUAGUCC